This 251-nucleotide ribosomal RNA is filed under the name uncultured prokaryote. RNAcentral's name for it is "partial 16S ribosomal RNA". It matches the Rfam family "Bacterial small subunit ribosomal RNA", at positions 525 to 775 of the family's 1533-position model. The record is from RNAcentral.
ACGUAGGGUGCGAGCGUUAAUCGGAAUUACUGGGCGUAAAGCGUGCGCAGGCGGUUCGCUAAGACAGGUGUGAAAUCCCCGGGCUUAACCUGGGAACUGCGUUUGAAACUACAAGGCUAGAGUGUGGCAGAGGGGGGUGGAAUUCCACGUGUAGCAGUGAAAUGCGUAGAGAUGUGGAGGAACACCGAUGGCGAAGGCAGCCCCCUGGGUCGACACUGACGCUCAUGCACGAAAGCGUGGGGAGCAAACAG